Microcebus murinus (gray mouse lemur) is the source of this 1482-nucleotide non-coding RNA. The record is from RefSeq and is a predicted model, not a curated record. NCBI's taxonomy places the organism in Eukaryota, Metazoa, Chordata, Mammalia, Primates, Cheirogaleidae.
GACUCGGAGUCUCCGCAGACCGCGAGGAUGGCGGUCCCGGCGCCCCGAGCCCCGCUCCUGCUGCUGUGGGGCGCCCUGGCCCUGACGGAGACCCGGGCGGGCUCCCACUCCCUGAGGUAUUUCGACACCGCCGUGUCCCGGCCCGGCCGCGGGGAGCCCCGGUACAUCUCCGUCGGCUACGUGGACGGCACGCAGUUCGUGCGGUUCGACAGCGACGCGGCGAGUCCGAGGAUGGAGCCGCGGGCGCCGUGGGUGGAGCGGGAGGGGCCGGAGUAUUGGGACGAGCAGACUCUCAGAGCCAAGGGAAACGCGCAGACUGACCAAGUGAACCUGCGGACCCUGCGCGGCUACUACAACCAGAGCGACGCCGGUGAGUGACCCCGGGCUCCGGUCACAGAUCACGACCCCUCCCUGACCCCACAGAGUACCCCGCGUCGCCCCGAGUCCGCAGGUCGGAGAGUCAACCCAAGCCUUGGGACCCGCCAAGACCUUUCAUCGCGCGGGGACUUUCACCCGGUUUCAUUUUCGGUUUAGGCCAAAAUCCCCGCGGGUGGGGGCGGGGCUGAGUGGGCGUGGCUGACGGCGGGGGCGGGGCCAGGCUUUCACACCAUCCAGUGGAUGUUUGGCUGCGACAUUGGGCUGGACGGUCGCCUCCUCCGCGGGUACCAUCAGUAUGCCUACGACGGCGCCGACUACCUCGCCCUGAACGAGGACCUGCGCUCCUGGACCGCGGCGGACACGGCGGCUCAGAUCUCCAAGCGCAAGUUCCAGGCGGCCGGUGUGGCGGAGCACGAAAGGGCCUACCUGGAGGGAACGUGCGUGGACUGGCUCCGCCGACACCUGGAGCACGGGAAGGACACGCUGCUGCGCGCGGAACCCCCAAGGACACACGUGACCCACCACCCCAGCUCUGAGCGUGAGGCCACCCUGAGGUGCUGGGCCCUGGGCUUCUACCCUGCGGAGAUCACACUCACCUGGCAGCGGGAUGGGCAGGACCAGACACAGGACACGGAGUUUGUGGAGACCAGGCCUGCAGGGGACGGAACUUUCCAGAAAUGGGCAGCUGUGGUGGUGCCUCCAGGAGAGGAGCAGAGAUACACGUACCAUGUGCAGCACCAGGGUCUGCUGGAGCCCCUCACCCUGAGAUGGGAGCCGCCUUCCCAGCCCAGCAUCCCCAUGGUGGGCAUCGUUGCUGGCCUGGUUGUCCUUGGAGCUGUGCUCAUUGGAGCUGUGGUCGCUGCUGUGAUGUGGAGGAAGAAGAGCUCAGGUAGGAAGGGAUGGGGGAGGCGUUGGUGCUUUCUUGUCCCACUGGGGGUUUCACGCCCAGGCAGAAGUGUGCCCUGCCUCACUCAGGGGCCCUGUUUGCUCACACUUGCUCUAUUGGAAAGGACAUGGAAUGUGCAGAACAAAUCCAUCACCUUGAUGAUUGUGGGAAUAGCACCUGAAUCCCCAGGGGUCACAGAUCAUCAGUCACAGUUCUGA